Pelobates cultripes (western spadefoot toad) is the source of this 225-nucleotide non-coding RNA. The record is from the annotation of a GenBank genome assembly. NCBI's taxonomy places the organism in Eukaryota, Metazoa, Chordata, Amphibia, Anura, Pelobatidae.
GCUAGUCUUCGCUCCCCAUGUGCAUUAAUGAGCCUUGGACACCCAUGACCCUGAUGCUGAUUCACCAGUUGUCCUUUCUUGUACCACUUUUGGUAAGUACUAAGCAUGGCAUACUGUAACAAUCCUCAAGACUUGCCACGAUCCUCAAGACUAGCCAUCACCAUUUGGCCCUUGUUAAAGUCACUCAGAUCUUUUCUCUUGUCCAUUUUUCCUGCUUCCAACACA